CUAGGGCUUGCCCUAGUGAUCAGUGGCGAACGGGUGAGUAACACGUGGGCAACCUGCCCCUCGCUUCGGGAUAACUCCGGGAAACCGGGGCUAAUACCGAAUAUUCAGGUACCUCGGCAUCGAGGAACCUGGAAAGGAUUCAGGCGAGGGAUGGGCCCGCGGCCUAUCAGCUUGUUGGUGGGGUAAUGGCCCACCAAGGCGACGACGGGUAGCCGGCCUGAGAGGGCGACCGGCCACACUGGGACUGAGACACGGCCCAGACUCCUACGGGAGGCAGCAGUGGGGAAUAUUGCGCAAUGGGCGAAAGCCUGACGCAGCGACGCCGCGUGAGGGAUGAAGGCCUUCGGGUUGUAAACCCCUUUCAGCAGGGAAGAAGCGAAAGUGACGGUACCUGCAGAAGAAGCACCGGCUAACUACGUGCCAGCAGCCGCGGUAAUACGUAGGGUGCAAGCGUUGUCCGGAUUUAUUGGGCGUAAAGAGCUCGUAGGCGGUUUGUUACGUCGGAUGUGAAAACCCGGGGCUCAACCCCGGGCCUGCAUUCGAUACGGGCAGACUUGAGUGUGGUAGGGGAGACUGGAAUUCCCUGGUGUAGCGGUGAAAUUGCGCAG
Molecule: ribosomal RNA, 608 nt
Filed under: uncultured Actinomycetes bacterium
Lineage: Bacteria; Bacillati; Actinomycetota; Actinomycetes
Description: bacterial SSU rRNA
Rfam family: Bacterial small subunit ribosomal RNA
Source: RNAcentral